UUUUUUUUUUUUUUUUGAAAGUUAGGAUAGUUGACCAUGCUGGCUAAGCAGAAAACUCUGAGCUUAUAUAAAGCAUAUAAUGAUGUUAUCAAUAAAAUUAAAAAACCGAAAUUACCGUAGUGGUACAUAUUUAAUUAUGCACGCCUCUCACUGUGCUGUAUGGUAAUAACGGCGAGCAAAUCACAUAAACCGUGUAGCUGGUGUUACUUUUAAUAGGGAAGGGAACUAAUAUUUAUUGAACUCUUAAUAUCUGCUGGGCUCCAUGCUGGGUGCUUUACAUAUGUUAUCUCAUUUAAUAUGUAGCUAAACAAGGCAUUUCCAGGGUCCACCGUGGCUGGAGGAAGCAGAGGCUACACAUCCAGGUCCUUUGGAAGACCCAGGAUUCUUUUCUUUGUCAGAAGCAUAUAUUUUCCCAGUGGUCCAGGAUCCUCUGCCUUCUCCCCAGUUUGAGAAUUUGGACUUCCUGGGCCCUACAGUCUUAGCUACAGUUGGAUGCAAUGAAGACAUGGCUGCUUCCUUCUGUAUCUUGUCUCACCUUCAGGUUUCACUAAGGGCUGGGAGUUGUGCUCCAGCCUGCAGACUGGAAUUCUGUUUGAAUAUAAGGAAACACAACCCAAAGCAGCUCCUUCUCUGAGUUUGAGGGAGUGUGAAUAGGAAACUGCUGUAGUUCUCAGCUCUGCUCUUCCUCUUCCAUGAAUAGUCUCAUGAAGUGAAAGGAAGAAAGCCAGGUGGUGUGCUUGAAGAGGAGGCCCCUCCACACCCCUCCUAUGCCCUUCAAAAUAUGUUUAUUGACAGUACCUGAUAUUUUACUACCUAAAGUAAAGGGAGUAGAGAAUUACUUGAAAGUCUGAUAACAAUCUUGACUCCAUGUCCCAGAAAAAUGUACCUAUGUUGACACUUCAAGUGAAAACUACUUGGUUUGUUUAUUUAUUUUUUAAAAGAUUUUAUUCAUUUAUUCAUGAGAGACAGGGAGAGAGGCAGAGACAUAGGCAGAGGGAGAAGCAGGCUCCCUAUGGGGAGCCUAAUGUGGGACUCGAUCCCAGGACCCUGGGAUCACGACCUGAGCCAAAGGUAGAUGCUCAACUAUUGAGCCACUCAGGUGCCCUGAAAACUACUUGGUUAAAAUAUUCAUACAAACCACCAAGGAAAAUCUCUGGGAGGGGGACGGGGGGAGCAGUAGGGAGAGUGCAUCUUAUUUCAUUCUUCAGUAGGGUUAUUUUAUCAUCUGAGUACCUGAGAUGUGCUUGAGGUGACAGGAGCUGAUGAGAGGAGGUGGGUGGUAGUGAUAAAAAAUUAUUUUGAAGUAUGAGCCCUUGAUGAGGAAGGGAAGCUCUGUUGGGGCAGGUGGUAGGGCUUAUAGAGAGGGCCUUGGAGGGCCAUCCAUCAGGGUGGUCCAUGGGCCAGUGGUGUGGUCAUUGCCCAGGAGUUUGUUAGAAACAGAGGAUGGCCCUUCCCCAGAUAUACUGAAUCAGAGGCUGCAUUGUAACAAGAUCCCACGUUCAAGUUUGAGAAGCAUGGAUGUGUAUCAAAGAUACCAGCAUAGGAGUAGGGAGUGGGCAUUGAGAUUAGAGGAAGCCAGAGAGCAGGACUAGGACUGAUGCAGAGAGGUGCCUGUGAAGGUACCUAUGAGUGCUUACAAGGGAGAGAAAGAGAGCUCGCACAGGGGAAGAGACAAUGGAAAGAGACCUUGAAGUGGUACCCCAAGGGGAAGGUGGGCAUAUCCAAAGUCUGGAGAAGAAAGUCAGGGACAGACUGUAACAACAGUUGUUUACUAUAAUCUGUUAGGUGCUGAAUGGUACAUCAUAACUUAGCAUCGAUUAUGUUUUCUAAAUACUCACUGGUAUCAAAGAUUUGUCAUGCUAAAUUAUUUAUAGAGUAAGUAACUUUAGGACAUCUUCUAUCUCUUCCCCUUGAUGAAUCUUUUGAACUUAUCAUUACCUUGUUUUCUUUGGCACAUUACCUGUGCCACCCAGGGAGAUGAGUCUCUCGAAAAUCUCAGGGGGUCUUAAGUCAUCAGCUCCUAUCUCUGACAUGCUUUGGAUGCCCUUUUCUCUUUUCUAAGAGGAACUGUAUCAAAUACUUUAUCAAAUACUUGUUGACACAUUACAUUAGAAACUGUUGCGUGAUUUCUGACUGUUCCUUUGUUUUGUGAAGGCACUUGAAAAGAAGUUAGAAUUUUUGGAGCAGAAACAGAAUGAUACUAUGAUUUUGGUAAAGUUAGAGUCUACAUUCCCUCACUGAGAAAAUCCUAGCCACAUGGUAUGGGUUGAAUUGUGUCCCCCUCCAAAAAAAUCCUAACCCCUGGAACCUGUGAAUAUGGCCUUAUUUGGAAAUGAGAUCUUUAACAGAUAUAAUCAAGUUAAGAUCCGCCCAUUAGGGUGGGCCCUUAAUCCAAUAUGACUGAUGUCUUUAUAAGAAAAGAGAAGACACAGACACAGAGAGAAGGUGGUCAUGAGGAUGUGGAGGCUGCUAUAAAGCCAACAAACUCUUGGGGCUACCAGAAACUGGAAGAGGCAAAGAAGAGUUUUCCUCUAGUGACAUGGAAGACUGUGGCUCUGCCAACACCUUGAUUUUGGACUUCUAGCUUCCAGAAUUGUGAGAUAGUAAAUUUCUGUUGUUCUCAGGCAUCUAGUUUGUUAUGGCAGCCUAGGAAGCUAAUAUACCACGCUUAAAUAUUUUUCUAUAAUUAGUAAUUUUGAUCUAAUUUUAAAUAGGGUCAUUAGUUUCAUAUACCACUAUUUGAGAUGGAAUAGUCAUUAGAGUCAUUAAAGAAACUAAAACAUUUUCCCAAUUAAUACUAAAUUCAAAUCCCCUGCUCGUUCGUAUAGGCACUUGCAUAAUUUUUAUAUGAUCUGUAUAUGCUGUGGUUCAAAUUUACCUUUUCAUAAAAUGAUGAAACUGCUAUUUUUCUUUUAGAAUUAAAAACCUCAUUUGUGUACCUUAGAGAAAACAAUGUAAGUUAACGAUGUCCUACACCUCGUUAGCACUUACCUGAGAUAGUCUAAAUAAUUUUGAUUAAAAAAUAUCAAAAAGUGUAUUUACUCCUAAACCAAUGAACUAUUUGAGAAAAAUGAAAAACAAGUAUUUAAAUAUUGUCUGAUGUUAGCGGCUGGUGGUGUCUAAGAUAUUACUUAUUGAAAGAAGUGGCAAAACAUGAGAACAACACAAAUGGCUAAGGAAAAAGAAAACUCAACAAAAUAGCUAAUGCAAUACUAGACUAUAUGGUCAAGGGAUGCCAAAGUCUCAAACCUAUUUUGAGACCAGAGGCAGUCUGCCCUGCAGAUUACCUUCAGGGAAGUCUGGUGUUGCUGCCCACGUCACUCCCAUGGGUGGCUGCCAGGUGUGAAGGCCAGGUCUGUGUCAGACUCAGAGAGGGAAGCCAGUUCUGAGACACCAUUAGCUGGGUAAGCAGAGCCUUUGUGGUGACAGCUCCUUGUUUACCUUAUGACCUCCCUGUAUGCAGGAGUUUUCUGUGACUGGCUCCUCCUCUUAAAUGAGGUGUGUUCAGGAUCCUACUACGUUUUGUCUCUUGUCUGAAUGAAAGUUAGCAUCAGUCUGUUGUUUUGAACUCAGUGCCGGGAAGAGUAGUUACAAAGGUCCCCAGAGUAGUUACAAAGGUCCCCUAAGAUGACUGACUCUGAGAUGUGAAUAUCAAGGCAGAAUUAUAUCAAGGUUGCUUGUAUUUAUUCUUUUCCUAAACAGUUUCUUGACUUUAAAAUGCCUUUGGAAUUUCCAACUCAAAAUUCUAAUCCCUUUCAGUGAGCUCAGUCUCCAUGCAAAACUU
This 3784-nucleotide long non-coding RNA is filed under the name Canis lupus familiaris (dog). RNAcentral's name for it is "lncRNA (ENSCAFG00000057359.1)". The record is from RNAcentral. Lineage: Eukaryota; Metazoa; Chordata; Mammalia; Carnivora; Canidae.